UUGAUCUCAAAUCAGGUAGGACUACCCGCUGAACUUAAGCAUAUCAAUAAGCGGAGGAAAAGAAACUAACAAGGAUUCCCCUAGUAACUGCGAGUGAAGCGGGAAGAGCUCAAAUUUAAAAUCUGGCGUGCCUCUGGUCGUCCGAGUUGUAGUCUGGAGAAGCGUUUUCCGUGUUGGACCGUGUACAAGUCUCUUGGAACAGGGCGUCAUAGAGGGUGAGAAUCCCGUCUUUGACACGGACUACCAAUGCUUUGUGAUGCGCUCUCAAAGAGUCGAGUUGUUUGGGAAUGCAGCUCAAAAUGGGUGGUAAAUUCCAUCUAAAGCUAAAUAUAGGCGAGAGACCGAUAGCGAACAAGUACCGUGAGGGAAAGAUGAAA
This 377-nucleotide ribosomal RNA is filed under the name uncultured Thelephoraceae. RNAcentral's name for it is "eukaryotic LSU rRNA". It matches the Rfam family "Eukaryotic large subunit ribosomal RNA", at positions 1 to 369 of the family's 3401-position model. The record is from RNAcentral. Lineage: Eukaryota; Fungi; Basidiomycota; Agaricomycetes; Thelephorales; Thelephoraceae.